Molecule: long non-coding RNA, 573 nt
Organism: Leptinotarsa decemlineata (Colorado potato beetle)
Lineage: Eukaryota; Metazoa; Arthropoda; Insecta; Coleoptera; Chrysomelidae
Source: RefSeq, a predicted model, not a curated record
GCUGAAUACGUUUAACUUCUACGUUCAGUUCAAUGCCGACCAUGAGUGUAAUAGCACAUUUAUGCCUUUUCUUCCUGAUUUUACUCGGAUUCACUCAUGCUGCUCCCAAAUACAACAUUUUCUUCGCCUUGAGACAAUCAGAUGAUUUUUCCAGUGAAGACAUAUCCAAUAUCUUCAGUGACAUUGGAUAUGAAGGUGAAAGUGGCAUACCAGGUCAUUGAGUUAUUUCUUCAUUCUUGUUCUUGGAUUGCUUUCUUCGCCAUUCUGGCUGCCGCCUUUGCUGUUCCUGCUCCAAACCCCAAGCCUGACCCUCUCACUUUGAUUCAACCAGCAGCAUAUUCCGCCUACACACCCAUUUCAUCCUACUCGAACUUGGGAUACAACUACCUUCCAUAUGCUUACAACUACAACUACUAUGGAUCACCAUUGGCGUACAGGAAUCUUUACUACUAGGAGAAGAAUUGCUCAAGAGAACAUGGACUGCGACUGAUACAGAUAUAAGCAAAUUUCCCUUUUGAUAGAAUUUUACAUAAAUUUAGUUCGGUUGGGUGAAUAAAAAAUCAUACAAAAUCA